GCGAGCCAGGCCGAGGCCGCCGGGAGGGAAGCGCUGCAGCGUGCCCAGCCCAGGACAACUUCGGCUCCGGCGGGAAGGACGUUCUCCCCUGCGGGCACCUGAGAUGGCAGGCGGAUGAUCGGCCUGUCUCUGCUGGUGGCCCUGCGCAACGAGGCCGGGGAAGCGCAAGGGAAUCCUAAGAACAGCUUUGUUGUGGAGAUGGGACUCGCCUGCAAGCGCAGCCAUGGUGAAGGCACAAAUAGCCAAAAAUAACAGGAGUUGUGUAAAGCGAAGUUUUUCCAUUAAACUAAGGAAAUUCCUCCUGCUGUCCUGAAUAACUCUGACCACGUUACAGAUCAAAA
Molecule: long non-coding RNA, 341 nt
Filed under: Naja naja (Indian cobra)
Lineage: Eukaryota; Metazoa; Chordata; Lepidosauria; Squamata; Elapidae
Description: lncRNA (ENSNNAG00000013840.1)
Source: RNAcentral